This 497-nucleotide ribosomal RNA is filed under the name uncultured bacterium. Its description in RNAcentral is "partial 16S ribosomal RNA". It matches the Rfam family "Bacterial small subunit ribosomal RNA", at positions 28 to 507 of the family's 1533-position model. The record is from RNAcentral.
GAUGAACGCUGGCGGCGUGCCUAAUACAUGCAAGUCGAGCGAACAGACGAGGAGCUUGCUCCUCUGACGUGAGCGGCGGACGGGUGAGUAACACGUGGAUAACCUACCUAUAAGACUGGGAUAACUUCGGGAAACCGGAGCUAAUACCGGAUAAUAUAUUGAACCGCAUGGUUCAAUAGUGAAAGACGGUUUUGCUGUCACUUAUAGAUGGAUCCGCGCCGCAUUAGCUAGUUGGUAAGGUAACGGCUUACCAAGGCAACGAAGCGUAGCCGACCUGAGAGGGUGAUCGGCCACACUGGAACUGAGACACGGUCCAGACUCCUACGGGAGGCAGCAGUAGGGAAUCUUCCGCAAUGGGCGAAAGCCUGACGGAGCAACGCCGCGUGAGUGAUGAAGGUCUUCGGAUCGUAAAACUCUGUUAUUAGGGAAGAACAAAUGUGUAAGUAACUAUGCACGUCUUGACGGUACCUAAUCAGAAAGCCACGGCUAACUACGUG